Salvelinus fontinalis (brook trout) is the source of this 2527-nucleotide long non-coding RNA. RefSeq lists it as uncharacterized. NCBI's taxonomy places the organism in Eukaryota, Metazoa, Chordata, Actinopteri, Salmoniformes, Salmonidae. The record is from RefSeq and is a predicted model, not a curated record. The transcript has 2 exons.
ACUGACUGGGUGGGUAGAGGUAGGACCUGGGGUCUCUGGGUGGGUAGGUUGAGGUAGGACCUGGGGUCUCUAGGUGGGUAGAGGUAGGACCUGGGGUCUCUAGGUGGGUAGUGGUAGGACCUGGGGUCUCUGGGUGGGUGGAGGUAGGACCUGAGGUCUCUGGGUGGGUAGAGGUAGGACCUGGGGUCUCUGGGUGAUUGGAGGUAGGACCUGGGGUCUCUGGGUGGGUGGAGGUAGGACCUGGGGUCUCUGGGUGGGUAGAGGUAGGACCUGGGGUCUCUGGGUGGGUGGAGGUAGGACCUGGGGUCUCUGGGUGGGUAGGUAGGUAUGUAGAGGUAGGACCUGAGGUCUCUGGGUAGGUGGAGGUAGGACCUGGGGUCUCUGGGUGGGUAGAGGUAGGACCUGGGGUCUCUGGGUGGGUAGAGGUAGGACCUGGGGUCUCUGGGUAGGUAGUGGUAGGACCUGGGGUCUCUGGGUAGGUAGAGGUAGGACCUGGGGUCUCUGGGUGGUUGGAGGUAGGACCUGGGGUCUCUGGGUGGGUGGAGGUAGGACCUGGGGUUUCUGGGUGGUUGGAGGUAGGACCUGGGGUCUCUGGGUGGGUGGAGGUAGGACCUGGGGUCUCUGGGUGGGUAGAGGUAGGACCUGGGGUCUCUGGGUGGGUGGAGGUAGGACCUGGGGUCUCUGGGUGGGUGGAGGUAGGACCUGGGGUCUCUGGGUGGGUAGGUAGGUAUGUAGAGGUAGGACCUGAGGUCUCUGGGUAGGUAGGUGGAGGUAGGACCUGGGGUCUCUAGGUAGGUAUGUAGAGGUAGGACCUGUGGUCUCUGGGUAGGUAGGUGGAGGUAGGACCUGUGGUCUCUGGGUAGGUAGGUGGAGGUAGGACCUGGGGUCUCUGGGAAAGGAGGUGGAGGUAGGACCUGGGGUCUCUAGGUAGGUAUGUAGAGGUAGGACCUGAGGUCUCUGGGUAGGUAGGUGGAGGUAGGACCUGGGGUCUCUAGGUAGGUAGGUGGAGGUAGGACCUGAGGUCUCUGGGUAGGUAGGUGGAGGUAGGACCUGGGGUCUCUAGGUAGGUAGGUGGAGGUAGGACCUGAGGUCUCUGGGUAGGUAGGUGGAGGUAGGACCUGAGGUCUCUAGGUAGGUAGGUGGAGGUAGGACCUGAGGUCUCUAGGUAGAGGUAGGACCUGAGGUCUCUGGGUAGGUAGGUGGAGGUAGGACCUGGGGUCUCUAGGUAGGUAGGUGGAGGUAGGACCUGGGGUCUCUAGGUAGGUAGGUGGAGGUAGGACCUGGGGUCUCUAGGUAGGUAGGUGGAGGUAGGACCUGGGGUCUCUAGGUAGGUAGGUGGAGGUAGGACCUGAGGUCUCUAGGUAGGUAGGUGGAGGUAGGACCUGAGGUCUCUAGGUAGAGGUAGGACCUGAGGUCUCUGGGUAGGUAGGUGGAGGUAGGACCUGGGGUCUCUAGGUAGGUAGGUGGAGGUAGGACCUGGGGUCUCUAGGUAGGUAGGUGGAGGUAGGACCUGAGGUCUCUGGGUAGGUAGGUGGAGGUAGGCCCUGGGGUCUCUGGGUAGGUAGGUAGGUACGUAUGUAGAGGUAGGACCUGAGGUCUCUGGGUAGGUAGGUAGAGGUAGGCCCUGAGGUCUCUGGGUAGGUAGGUGGAGGUAGGCCCUGGGGUCUCUGGGUAGGUAGGUACGUAUGUAGAGGUAGGACCUGGGGUCUCUAGGUAGGUAGGUAGGUAGGUAUGUAUGUAGAGGUAGGACCUGAGGUCUCUGGGAAAGGAGGUACGUAGAGGUAGGACCUGAGGUCUCUGGGUAGGUAGGUAGGUGGAGGUAGGCCCUGGGGUCUCUGGGUAGGUGGAGGUAGGCCCUGGGGUCUCUGGGUAGGUGGAGGUAGGACCUGGGGUCUCUGGGAAAGGAGGUAGGUAGAGGUAGGACCUACACAUUUUUUUUUCUGAGGUCUUGGCUGAUUUCUUUAGAUUUUCCCAUGAUGUCAAGCAAGGAGGCACUGAGUUUGAAGGUAGGCCUUGAAAUACAUCCACAGGUACACCUUCAAUUGACUCAAAUGAUGUCAAUUAGCCUAUCAGAAGCUUCUAAAGCCAUGACAUCAUUUUCCAAGCUGUUUAAAGGCACAGUCAACUUAGUGUAUGUAAACUUCUGACCCACUGGAAUUGUGAUACAGUGAAUUAUAAGUAAAAUAAUCUGUCUGUAAACAAUUGUUGUAAAAAUGACUUGUCAUGCACAAAGUAGAUGUCCUAAACAACUUGCCAAAACUAUAGUUUGUGGAGUGGUUGAAAAACGAGUUUUAAUGACUCCAACCUAAGUGUAUGUAAACAUCUGUCUUCAACUGUAUAGUCUACUCAUUUACACAAGGUUAUUUGUGGCUUAUUUGAAAAGGCUGUAAUCUGUUGGCUCUCUACCUGCCGGUGCCUUUCUUUGCGAGGCAUUGAAAAACCUCCCUGGUCGAAUCUGUGUUUGAAAUUCACUGCUCAACUGAGGGAACUUACAGAGAUGAGGUAGUCAUUAAAAAAUCAUGUUAAA